RNAcentral lists this ribosomal RNA (420 nucleotides) under bacterium. RNAcentral's name for it is "partial 16S ribosomal RNA". It matches the Rfam family "Bacterial small subunit ribosomal RNA", at positions 355 to 776 of the family's 1533-position model. The record is from RNAcentral.
UGGGGGAUAUUGCACAAUGGACGAAAGUCUGAUGCAGCGACGUCGUGUGGGGGAUGAAGGCCUUCGGGUUGUAAACUCCUUUCGCCCGCGGAAAAGGCAGGGUUUUGGCCUUGUUGAUGGUAGUGGGUAAAGAAGCGCCGGCUAACUACGUGCCAGCAGCCGCGGUAAUACGUAGGGCGCGAGCGUUGUCCGGAAUUAUUGGGCGUAAAGGGCUCGUAGGCGGUUUGUCGCGUCUAGCGUUUAAGGCUCGGGAUUAACCAGGGUUUGCGUUGGGUACGGGAAGGCUUGAGUGCGGUAGGGGUAACUGGAAUUCCUGGUGUAGCGGUGGAAUGCGCAGAUAUCAGGAGGAACACCGGUGGCGAAGGCGGGUUACUGGGCCGUUACUGACGCUGAGGAGCGAGAGCGUGGGGAGCGAACAGG